RNAcentral lists this ribosomal RNA (513 nucleotides) under uncultured Bacillota bacterium. Its description in RNAcentral is "bacterial SSU rRNA". It matches the Rfam family "Bacterial small subunit ribosomal RNA", at positions 392 to 896 of the family's 1533-position model. Lineage: Bacteria; Bacillati; Bacillota. The record is from RNAcentral.
CAACGCCGCGUGAGUGAUGAAGGCCUUCGGGUCGUAAAGCUCUGUUGUUAGGGAAGAACAAGUAUCGGAGUAACUGCCGGUACCUUGACGGUACCUAACCAGAAAGCCACGGCUAACUACGUGCCAGCAGCCGCGGUAAUACGUAGGUGGCAAGCGUUGUCCGGAAUUAUUGGGCGUAAAGCGCGCGCAGGCGGUCCUUUAAGUCUGAUGUGAAAGCCCACGGCUCAACCGUGGAGGGUCAUUGGAAACUGGGGGACUUGAGUGCAGAAGAGGAAAGCGGAAUUCCACGUGUAGCGGUGAAAUGCGUAGAGAUGUGGAGGAACACCAGUGGCGAAGGCGGCUUUCUGGUCUGUAACUGACGCUGAGGCGCGAAAGCGUGGGGAGCAAACAGGAUUAGAUACCCUGGUAGUCCACGCCGUAAACGAUGAGUGCUAAGUGUUAGAGGGUUUCCGCCCUUUAGUGCUGCAGCUAACGCAUUAAGCACUCCGCCUGGGGAGUACGGCCGCAAGGCUG